RNAcentral lists this ribosomal RNA (253 nucleotides) under uncultured bacterium. RNAcentral's name for it is "partial 16S ribosomal RNA". It matches the Rfam family "Bacterial small subunit ribosomal RNA", at positions 524 to 776 of the family's 1533-position model. The record is from RNAcentral.
UACGAAGGGGGCUAGCGUUGUUCGGAAUCACUGGGCGUAAAGCGCACGUAGGCGGAUCUUUAAGUCAGGGGUGAAAUCCCGAGGCUCAACCUCGGAACUGCCUUUGAUACUGGGGAUCUCGAGUCCGGGAGAGGUGAGUGGAACUGCGAGUGUAGAGGUGAAAUUCGUAGAUAUUCGGAAGGACACCAGUGGCGAAGGCGGCUCACUGGCCCGGUACUGACGCUGAGAUACGAAAGCGUGGGGAGCAAACAGG